UAGUCCAUGCCGUAAACGAUGUGUGCUAGUUGUUGGGCCCUUGAGGUCCAGUGACGGAGCUAACGCAUUAAGCACACCGCCUGGGGAGUACGGUCGCAAGAUUAAAACUCAAAGGAAUUGACGGGGACCCGCACAAGCGGUGGAGCAUGUUCUUUAAUUCGAAGCAACGCGAAGAACCUUACCUACACUUGACAUACUAGUCGGGAUUUUCAGAGAUGAUUAUCUUCGGUUCGGCCGGACUAGAUACAGGUGCUGCAUGGCUGUCGUCAGCUCGUGUCGUGAGAUGUUGGGUUAAGUCCCGCAACGAGCGCAACCCUCGUUCUUAGUUGCCAUCAUUAAGUUGGGCACUUUAGGAAGACUGCCGGUGACAAACCGGGAGGAAGGUGGGGAUGACGUCAAGUCAGCACGCCCCUUACGUUCUGGGGCUACACACGUACUACAAUGGUUGGGGACAAAGGGGCAGCAAGCUCGCAAGAGUAAGCGAAUCU
This 488-nucleotide ribosomal RNA is filed under the name uncultured bacterium. Its description in RNAcentral is "bacterial SSU rRNA". It matches the Rfam family "Bacterial small subunit ribosomal RNA", at positions 791 to 1274 of the family's 1533-position model. The record is from RNAcentral.